GACGAACGCUGGCGGCGUGCUUAACACAUGCAAGUCGAACGGAAAGGCCCUGCUUUUGUGGGGUGCUCGAGUGGCGAACGGGUGAGUAACACGUGAGUAACCUGCCCUUGCCUUUGGGAUAACUUCAGGAAACUGGUGCUAAUACCGGAUAGGAGCUCCUGCUGCAUGGUGGGGGUUGGAAAGUUUCGUCGGUUGGGGAUGGACUCUCGGCUUAGCUGACUGUGGGUGGGGUAGUUGCUUACCAAGCCUUUGACAGGUAGCCGGCCUGAGAGGGUGACCGGCGACAUUGGGAGAGAGAUACGGCCCAGACUCCUCCGGGGGGGAGAGGUGGGGAGUAUUGCACAAUGGGGGGAAGCGUGAUGCAGAAACGCCGCGUGCGGGAUGACGGCCUUCGGGGUGUAAACCGCUUUCGCCUGUGACGAAGCGUGAGUGACGGUAAUGGGGAAAGAAGCACCGGCUAACUACGUG
RNAcentral lists this ribosomal RNA (468 nucleotides) under uncultured bacterium. Its description in RNAcentral is "partial 16S ribosomal RNA". It matches the Rfam family "Bacterial small subunit ribosomal RNA", at positions 28 to 507 of the family's 1533-position model. The record is from RNAcentral.